Molecule: small nuclear RNA, 164 nt
Organism: Neoarius graeffei (lesser salmon catfish)
Lineage: Eukaryota; Metazoa; Chordata; Actinopteri; Siluriformes; Ariidae
Product: U1 spliceosomal RNA
Exons: 1
Source: RefSeq, a predicted model, not a curated record
AUAUUUACUUGGCAGGGGCAAUACUAUGAUCAAAAAGGUGGUUUGCACAAAGUGAGGCCCAGCCAUUGCACUCAGGCUGUGUUAACCUUUAUGAAUUUCUUAAAUGCAGAAACCUCAACUGCAUAAUUUCUGAUAGUGGGGGACUGUGUUCAUGCUCUCCUCUU